CAUCUCCUUAUGGGAACGAUCUUCAUCACCAAGACAAUGUAACGCACGGUCAGUUUGCGUUCACAACUCAAGAGACAGGGAACUACUUGGCUUGUUUCUCGGUUGAUUCAAGUCAUCCGCUACCUAAUCCGUUGACCCUUGGGAUUGAUUGGAAGACUGGUAUCGCCGCCAAAGAUUGGGACUCUGUUGCUAAAAAGGAAAAGAUCGAGGCAAGUUACAUUUACAUUUACAUCUCCUCUCUUUUCUUCUUUGUGAUGUGUUGCUACAUCGUUAUGAAUGUGUAUUGUUUUUUGCAGGGUGUUGAGCUUCAGUUAACGAGACUUGAGGGGUUAGUGCAAGCGAUUCGUGAGAACAUCGAGUAUAUAAAGAACAGGUACGUCUCUACCUCUUUUGUCUCCUACAAAAUAGUGAUAUGUAAAGCAAAUUUUGGAUACAGGGAAGGGGAGAUGCGAGGAGUGAGUGAAGCAACCAACGCAAGAGUGGCUUGGUUCAGUAUAAUGUCACUUGGGGUUUGUCUUUCAGCAGCGGGUGCGCAGAUAUGGUACCUGAAGCGAUAUUUCCACAAGAAGAAACUCAUCUAAAGACUUUUGGCUUGGAAGGCUACUUUGCUAUAUUUUGUAACAUCACAGAUUCUCCCACCUUUGUAGAGUCAACUUGUUAGUUGUUACAAUCAAAGAACGCAUUUUCAUUUAUAUCUUCUGUGGAACAGGAUAUUGUGUUUUGAUUUAUCUCUGCUGGAGUAGAAUCUCUCUGACUUUCUCUAGGUGUAUGAUUUUCUGCAUUCCACUGUUACAGAUCACAUGUAACUGAUGAGAUUAGGCCUGCGGGUUGGGGUAGUUCGGAAUUCGGAUAGUUCAGUUCAACCAAAAUAUUGUCAAAUUGAUCGAAAACAAUCUGUUUCGGUAUUCGGGUAGUUUGGUUUUAAAAGUUUUACCAAAAUUAACUAGAGUUUUUUUAGUUCGAUUAUCUUUCGGUUAAAUUAAUUUUAAUUAAAUUCAGAUAAUUUCGGCUACUUGGUUUAUUCGGUUAAUUUGGUUCAAAAUUUGGUUUAUUCGGUUAAUUUGUAGAAAAGCUGACCAAGCUGAAAAGCAAUAUUUUUAUAAACAUGCGAAACUGAACCGGAUUCAUAACCAAACUAACCAAAAAUUUCAGUUCAGUUUUUGGUUAGGCAAAUUUGGUUCAGUUCAAAACCACAGGCCUAGAUGAGAUUAAAACUUUCUGUGAGAUACAACUUCAAGAUAAUAAAUAGUUUUUCGGUUUUACUCAUCAAGAAGUCUCUCACAAAUGAGUUUUAAUGCGCGGUAAAAUAAACAAAUUGUUGUUGACCAAUCAACAUGAGAAGACAAAGGAGAUGGAGAUGAGAAACAUGAUAAAGAAGUAGCUAAAAGAGUAGACAGUGGCAGCGGUUGAGAUGCUUCCAGCUGGACCAUUAGCAGGGUUCCCCGGCAAGGAACCACCACCUGGAGGAAUCACAGAUGAUCCUGGCGAAGCUGCUAUUGAACCUGGACCAUCAUAAUCCGGUGAAGGCGCUGGUGCAUACAUUAGAUCCUUAGGAACAGUAUCAGGCGGAGCUAGAAGCGGCGCAAACUGUUGAGGCCCGGGACAUCGUGGCUGUAGAGAUCUAGACAGCAUGGUCAAGAUGGUGCCGUUGGCGAAACCAUUGUAAUCACAAGUCGUCACGUUACAGCCAGCGCUACUCUGCUGGACCGUGAUGUUACCGAGCAUGAGGUUGCUGUUUGUACACUGCAUACUCGAGCAUGAGACGGCUAAAGAAGCAGGCUCACAAUACAAACUGCAUCACACACACACACACCAUAACCAAUUUAACAUUAGCUUGGGAGAAGGAAGGAAGGACGGUAAGGAGAGGAUCUUUGGAUAUUGUUAUUACCUGCGGCUCCCAAGCGCACAGCUGCAUUGCACGCAGUGACCUGCUGCUAGAGCGUAGCUUCCAUUUGGAACUAUCAAUCCGUAAUCCGAAGCAUACUUGGGAAAAUUAGAAGCACAGGCUGUCACAAAGAUGAAGAUACAGAAUCAAUCAUUAAAACAUCACAAAGAUGUAAACUUUUGGCAGCUCAAAACUAACACAACACAAAAUGUAAUCAAACAACACUAAAGGAAACAACCAAAGACUCACAAAGCUACACCAAAAGUAGAAACUAACUCCCAUUAUAUAAACUUCUAAAGAUAAGCACAAGCUGAGACAUGGUGAAGAUACAUAACCAAAAAUUAAAACAACUGUUACCAACAGAGUUUAACAAACAAGAAAACAGCACAAAGAUGCAAACUUUUAGCAGCUCAAAACUCACACCAACGCACAACAAGUAAAGAAAACAACCAAAGACUGACAAAGCCACACUAAAGAUCCCAACUUGGCAACACUACUGACUACAAUUAACAUAUAUAAACUGCUUAUUCAACCUUUGGCAGCUCAAAACUCACAUCAACGCACAACACAAACAAAAAAACAAUUAAAGAAACAACCAAAGAUCCCAACUUUACAACAUUAACCAACAAUAGAAACUACUUCCCAUCAUAUAAACCCAUAAAGACAAGAACUUUAUAGACCAAACCUGACAAGGGAACAGCGAGGAUAUCACCGGAGCUAACAUCAGGAGCCCCCAUAGCAUUCACAUUCAUCAAAUCAGUAACCGUAGUCUCGUACCUCCUCGCUAUCCCCGCCAACGUAUCCACACCCUUCACCACGUACGACAGAUAAACCGCCGGCAGAGAAUUAUCCGUCCCGUUGAAGCAAGCGCACGGCAGAAGAAUAAGACAGGGGAUAGCAGCCACCGACCAUUUGCUCCAAUCUUCAAAGGAGAAUGACGGAGAAAGAAAGACAACAGAGAGAGAAACUACAGAAAACGAAGAAGGCCACGUCAACAAGGAUUCAUUCAUUUUAAUCCUUAAUUAAGGACUGCUCCUUAGCUUAUUUAGGUUUUAUAUUAUUAUUAUUGUAUUGGUAUUUGCUUAGGAUUAUGUGCUAAGGAUUCAUUUAAAUCCUCUGUUGCGGAUGGUCUUAUAACUAAUUUUAUGACAUGCUUUUUUUAUUCACUGAACUAAUUUUGAAGGCUUUAACCUUAUGCGGGCUUAAAUCUGGUAAUUACACUUGUUGCAUUUUUUUUUGUUUCUAAACAAACCUUUUUUAUUUCCUUUUAACAUCUCAACCAAUAUUUGUCUUUUUUUAGUAUUUACUUUUUAAUAUUUUCUUCCGUUUUUAGUAUUUCACUAGAUCAAUAAUUUAGAUUUUAAUUGAUAUUGAUUAUUUUUUCUAUUUUAUUCAGUUUCCGUCGAUUUUAGUUAAAAUUUUACUUUUCUUUGAAUUUAUAUAAUUAAAAUAAAUUCAUAACAAUACAAUAUUUUAUAUAAUAUACAAUUUUAUGUUAAUAGCAUUAAAAUAAUACUUACUAAUUAUACAAAUGCUUUAAUUUUAGUUUUAUUUAUAUAUUUUAGAAUAUGACUUUUUUUUAUCAAACUAAACUUGCAUUAAUUUUAAAUGUGUUUACACUCCAACAAAGGAGGAUACAAAAAAACUAUUAACAGCCAAACAAACAACAAUAUAAAGGAGAGAAUGACGAUACAAAUCACAAGAAGGAGCCAUAUGAAAUCGUACCACAACAACAUCAUAAGCUUCUUUAAAACCGCAUCUAGUGUAACCCGUAAGACAACACACACUGUACCAUACGCAGAGAAGAGCAUUCAAUGGGAAGAAAAUCUUUGCAAUACCAACGAAACUUGUUCAUCCAAUUUACUCCAUAUAAAAUGAAAUAUUAGGAAAAAAGACCGAUUCAAACGAUAUUUUAGAAUAUGACUAAAUUCUAGUAAUUUGUGUAAUAUAAAAUCAUCGGUUUUUGCCCACUAUAUAGAUUUAUUUUGUGGGUUCCGCCUCUAGCUGUAACGCAUUGGAAUAUACUUUUGUGUGUUAUAAACUAUAAUCUACUCGACAGUGAAAUCAGUGACUCGUGAUUAUGAGAUUGGGUAUUUGGUCUUUAAAAAAAAGAGUUUUGGUAUUUGGUCUUUUUUAAAAAUAUUUUCCAGUCUUAAGAACAAAGCAUUUGGUAUCCUGUCUUCAAUUAAUUCGCGGAUCAAAGAUGAGUUGGCCGAGAAAACAGCAAAUAACAACAAAACGUGGGCCCAAACCGGUCCACGUCUCUCUUAUUUUUUUACUUAUCUGAAUUCCGUGUUUCAACCUAGGUUUCGACAUGUUGUUGGAAUAUAUUUUGUGCAUUAUAUAAUUUACUCGUCGUUGAAUACUGACCAACGCCGUUUUAUAUAUGACAAGAAGCCCAUAACAUAACGCAUUAUGCGAACGAACAUCUCGAGUUGUCUCAUACGACGUCCCAAAGAGUUUCACAAUAAGAUCUUCAGAGCAUUGACUUGAGAUACAAGAAAUAAUUAGUCAUCCUUUUUCUUGGUCCUGUUUUGUUUCCAGUUGAAAUCGUCACUUACAUGAGUUUUCUUUGCAUAGAGUGAGCUUUGAAGUAAAGAACUAUGACUUCUGACACAGAGGAAAAGAACAGCAGCGACAUAGUUCCCCCAAGCGGAUCAUUUCGGUCGACCGAUCACAAUCCUGUGAUGGAAAACGUUGGAGGCACGGACGGAUCCAGCGUAUGGGAGAAUCGGGAGAAGAAACGGAACGGGCUGGUGAACCAGAUCAAGCGGUUUGCAGGGAAGCCAGCUCGGUUGAACCGGUCGAAGUCAACGACCGGUCAGGCCUUGAGAGGGCUCAAGUUCAUCAGUAAGGCUGANNNNNNNNNNNNNNNNNNNNNNNNNNNNNNNNNNNNNNNNNNNNNNNNNNNNNNNNNNNNNNNNNNNNNNNNNNNNNNNNNNNNNNNNNNNNNNNNNNNNNNNNNNNNNNNNNNNNNNNNNNNNNNNNNNNNNNNNNNNNNNNNNNNNNNNNNNNNNNNNNNNNNNNNNNNNNNNNNNNNNNNNNNNNNNNNNNNNNNNNNNNNNNNNNNNNNNNNNNNNNNNNNNNNNNNNNNNNNNNNNNNNNNNNNNNNNNNNNNNNNNNNNNNNNNNNNNNNNAAAAAAAAAAAAAAAAAAAAAAAAAAAAAAAACUGUCCCAUAACUUACACUCGAAAGCUAACAUAAGAGUAGAGAGAAUUACCACAUAUUUAUAUAUUUUGUCCAAAAAUAUCUAUUUUUUCAGUGUAGGGACAAUUGUAAGAAUCAGCAAAUCUUUUAUUUGUAUAUUCAGAUCUAUGAUUUAGUCGGUUUUGAAAAAGUUAAAACUGAGGUGGGGACAUAAAACAUGAUAGAUCCCUACAUACAUUGUAUGUUUCGUAAACAACAAAAAAGACUCGUACAUGGUUGUUCCUCUAGCAAGAAUAAAGAUUUUAUUUUAUUCGAUAUUUGUAUUUUACGUUGUGAUCCUUCGAACUCACGAUCAUAUUAAGAAAACAUGUGUUACAGAAGAAAAAACAAUCGGUCCAUUCAACCAGGCGUAGAAACAAAACAAAUAAUGACAAAUAAUAGAUAGGCGGGAAGGUGGUACAGAAAGCCCAUUUACGAAUUUGAAUGGGCCGAACAAAUAACCGUGGGUCCAAUCCAAAACUUUGUGUUAGUCCACCAAACGGAACCCUCUUAACCAUUCAGAAGGUGCGAUCAGCAUCGAUGACGCGCUACCUCCAUUAAAGACACGCCACGUCAACCAUUAUUCGCAAUCUGAUUGGCUGAUCACACGUUGAAGCAAGUCACCUAAAACACGAAACACCUCCCACUCGCGUCAUUUAAGACACACGCGCGCGUGAACUCUCUCUCUCUCUCUCUCUCUCUGUCUUUGUUUUGGUUUGGUUUUGGAAGGACUUUGACCUUCCCCUUGUGCUUGUUGGACUUGGUCGGGGUAAGAAAAAGAGAAGAAGACCCUCGCUGCUCUCCGAUGGCGAUCAGAGGAAUCUUUACGAUUUCAACGGUGGUGUUGUUUCUGCUGACGGUGAAUCACGGCGAAGCUAUAUGGCUGACGAUUCCGGCGACGGGAGGGACCAAGUGCGUCUCCGAGGAGAUACAGAGCAACGUCGUCGUCAUGGCUGAUUACUACGUCGUCGAUGAGCAGAACCCUGGAAACACACCUGCUGUUUCCGCUAAGGUACGGCUCCGAAUCAAACUUAUGUAUUCGAUUGAGUUCAAAGUUGUGAACUUUAUGUCGGUGGCUUUGGUACUACGGAUCAAUAGUUUUAAAGAUGCAAACUUUUUUUUUUCUUUGGGUCUGAUUGGGGUUUGAGUAGGUAACAUCUCCUUAUGGGAACGAUCUUCAUCACCAAGACAAUGUAACGCACGGUCAGUUUGCGUUCACAACUCAAGAGACAGGGAACUACUUGGCUUGUUUCUCGGUUGAUUCAAGUCAUCCGCUACCUAAUCCGUUGACCCUUGGGAUUGAUUGGAAGACUGGUAUCGCCGCCAAAGAUUGGGACUCUGUUGCUAAAAAGGAAAAGAUCGAGGCAAGUUACAUUUACAUUUAC
RNAcentral lists this long non-coding RNA (6455 nucleotides) under Brassica napus (rape). RNAcentral's name for it is "long non-coding RNA (BNAP_LNC007167)". The record is from RNAcentral. Lineage: Eukaryota; Viridiplantae; Streptophyta; Magnoliopsida; Brassicales; Brassicaceae.